UGUUGUUUCAACUUGUCAGAAUGUUGAUACAAUGGAAUAGAUUAUAAAAUAGUUGCUCAUGAUUCUUAAGUUGUUAGGGGACAUAACCCUUCAAGUGGAGCAUGUCAUGGUAGUAUAUUGUAAGGAAUGAGUCGAGUUGUUUUUCUACAGUCAGAUAAAAUGAAUAUGCAUCUUCUGGGAUUCGGCAAUGAUUUCUACAAGUGUUUAAUAGAUUUUUAAAAAAAACACUUUUUUAAUCAACCAAAUUCUAAAAAAUAAAAAAAUAUAUAUGCUAGAAAUUCUAUGCAGGGUGUUGUAGAUGAACUGUUCUGUUGCUGUUAGCUUCCCUGACUAAGCUGCGGAAGCUUCAUCAUGAUUGGUUUUGAAAAGUGGUUGAUCAAAUUGUUUCAUGUUUUGUCAUUAGGUAACAAAUUAUGCAAAACCAAUGGAAUUGUUUGUUUUUUCUGUCUCUUCUUCAUGUGAUUGUGUUGACCUCAGACAUGACAAUGUUUCUCUUGUAUAGUUUAACCUUGACAUUGGCCUAUCAAGUUUUGUAUCCCUUUCUCUUUUUUGGUUCCUGUUUCCCUGACAAAAUAUUUACCCAACUAAAACUAGACCAAUACACUCUUGUGCAUGAUCUUUUUGCACACUCAAUCAGUUUUUGUUUUGAAAUUGUGACCUCUGACCUGUAGCUACAGCAAGAAGAAUGUUCACCCCACACAUGAACUGUACAGACAUAUGUAAGUACACACACACAUAUGCAUAGUCCCUCUCACCCACUUUCCCUACCUUCUAGUUCUUAUCACACUUCUUAGCUCCCCUGAAAAAUAUUCUUGUUAUCUGAACCAGCAGGUUUUACUUGAUUUUGUUGACUAUUUU
This is a non-coding RNA of Biomphalaria pfeifferi, 858 nucleotides long. The record is from the annotation of a GenBank genome assembly. Lineage: Eukaryota; Metazoa; Mollusca; Gastropoda; Planorbidae.